Molecule: small nucleolar RNA, 132 nt
Filed under: Merops nubicus (carmine bee-eater)
Lineage: Eukaryota; Metazoa; Chordata; Aves; Coraciiformes; Meropidae
Description: Small nucleolar RNA SNORA3/SNORA45 family
Rfam family: Small nucleolar RNA SNORA3/SNORA45 family
About the family: The members of this family belong to the H/ACA class of snoRNAs which are thought to guide the sites of modification of uridines to pseudouridines.
Source: Rfam by way of RNAcentral
GCCGAGACUAGAGUCACAUCUUCACACGUGUGGUUGUCUGGGUGUGCUGUAGCUCUCGAACACAAACAGCUGAUCCCUGUUCACUGGCUGUGGUGUCUCGUACCUCAGCCGGCCACCGAAUCAGUGACACGA